GGCACCAUGGCUCAGCUGGUUAAAGCAUCUGCCUAGUAAAUAAGAGAUCCUGGGUUCAACUCCCAGCGGCGCCC
RNAcentral lists this transfer RNA (74 nucleotides) under Cuculus canorus (common cuckoo). It matches the Rfam family "tRNA". From Rfam's summary of the family: Transfer RNA (tRNA) molecules are approximately 80 nucleotides in length. Their secondary structure includes four short double-helical elements and three loops (D, anti-codon, and T loops). The record is from Rfam by way of RNAcentral. Lineage: Eukaryota; Metazoa; Chordata; Aves; Cuculiformes; Cuculidae.